This is a non-coding RNA of Cajanus cajan (pigeon pea), 404 nucleotides long. NCBI's taxonomy places the organism in Eukaryota, Viridiplantae, Streptophyta, Magnoliopsida, Fabales, Fabaceae. The record is from RefSeq and is a predicted model, not a curated record.
CGUUUGACUAAAUAUGCUCAUUUUUGCUCUUUGGGUCAUCCUUUCUCUGCUCAAGAAGUAGCUGCUGUUUUUGCUAGUAGUGAAUCCCGGAUAGCGGAGCGGAGCGGUAAACCCUAAAAAUGGGAUUGCGGGAUGACGCGGAGCGGGAUAACCGGAAAUGAGAAGACGAAAGAACAAGACAGGACCGGAGGAGCGUCGGACAGCAGGAGCGUCGGAGCAGGAGCGUCGGAACUGACGGAGUGCAUCGGAACUGGAGUGCGUCGGACAGAGACGCCUGAAGAAGACAACCGGAGUUCGUCGCGUCCCCAAGAGAGAAAGAAUCAAUCGAGAGAGAGAGAGGAGAAGGAGCGCGAAAAACCCUAAACAACAGCACUGGUUCCGCGAGGGGGAGAGGAAGAAUUAGG